RNAcentral lists this ribosomal RNA (587 nucleotides) under uncultured bacterium. RNAcentral's name for it is "bacterial SSU rRNA". It matches the Rfam family "Bacterial small subunit ribosomal RNA", at positions 338 to 916 of the family's 1533-position model. The record is from RNAcentral.
CCUACGGGAGGCAGCAGUGGGGAAUUUUGGACAAUGGGCGAAAGCCUGAUCCAGCAAUGCCGCGUGAGUGAAGAAGGCCUUCGGGUUGUAAAGCUCUUUUGUCAGGGAAGAAACGGUGAGAGCUAAUAUCUUUUGCUAAUGACGGUACCUGAAGAAUAAGCACCGGCUAACUACGUGCCAGCAGCCGCGGUAAUACGUAGGGUGCAAGCGUUAAUCGGAAUUACUGGGCGUAAAGCGUGCGCAGGCGGUUUUGUAAGUCUGAUGUGAAAUCCCCGGGCUCAACCUGGGAAUUGCAUUGGAGACUGCAAGGCUAGAAUCUGGCAGAGGGGGGUAGAAUUCCACGUGUAGCAGUGAAAUGCGUAGAUAUGUGGAGGAACACCGAUGGCGAAGGCAGCCCCCUGGGUCAAGAUUGACGCUCAUGCACGAAAGCGUGGGGAGCAAACAGGAUUAGAUACCCUGGUAGUCCACGCCCUAAACGAUGUCUACUAGUUGUCGGGUCUUAAUUGACUUGGUAACGCAGCUAACGCGUGAAGUAGACCGCCUGGGGAGUACGGUCGCAAGAUUAAAACUCAAAAUGAAAUUGACGG